GGAGACGUAGGCUGCUCGGUUCGAAGUGACUGCUGCGCCCACUCCCUCUGGCUGUGGGGCCGCCCCCUCCCCACUCCCGCCCCUUUCCCCCGGACUGCCGUUCCAGCAGCCAAUCAGGAACUCCGGCGCUCGUCUGUUGGCUGUCACUCAGCUGUCAACCUUCAAUCAACAGUCCAGUGGCCGCGGAUGCCCACCUGUCAGCCUGUCAGUGGGCAAGCAGAGAGGUCAUGCCCCGCCCUGGAGCCUGGCAUCCCCGGGCAGGUAAACGCACAUCUGAAACACCUUCGGUCCCCACCCAUGCAGAGGACACCAACUCAUUCCCAAGGCCCUCAAGAUACCCCUCCUUCUAAAGCAGGCUGGUUAGGAGGGGGAAGAUUGAAGACAGAAAAGAAGAGGCACAGCAUGCGCAAGGGAAGAUGUGGGGUUACGUCACAGGACUGCACAAAAGCCUGAGCCUAUGAGACUUCACUUGCCAACAACAGGACCUAACACUAGGUCUCAACAGUGCUUUGAGAAAUGCUGAGAAGGCAGCUUGGAGCCUCACAGGUGUCCACCCCCGCUUCAUGCAGAGGCCCAGAGAGGGCAAGCUAUGGUGUAAGGACGCACAGCAGCAAGGGUUGAGCAGAGGCCUUGAAAUCCGAGAUUUCCUGAAGACCGGCACGGCCUGCCGGACUUUUCCAGGCCAGCACUGGCUCACACAGGGUGCCUCUGCUCUUCUGCCAGUGACACAAUGAGGGAAGCGGGGACUCACUCAGG
This 756-nucleotide long non-coding RNA is filed under the name Fukomys damarensis (Damara mole-rat). Its description in RNAcentral is "lncRNA (ENSFDAG00000029194.1)". The record is from RNAcentral. Lineage: Eukaryota; Metazoa; Chordata; Mammalia; Rodentia; Bathyergidae.